RNAcentral lists this ribosomal RNA (721 nucleotides) under Streptomyces sp. PU1-3/60. RNAcentral describes it as "bacterial SSU rRNA". It matches the Rfam family "Bacterial small subunit ribosomal RNA", at positions 28 to 766 of the family's 1533-position model. Lineage: Bacteria; Bacillati; Actinomycetota; Actinomycetes; Kitasatosporales; Streptomycetaceae. The record is from RNAcentral.
GACGAACGCUGGCGGCGUGCUUAACACAUGCAAGUCGAACGAUGAACCACUUCGGUGGGGAUUAGUGGCGAACGGGUGAGUAACACGUGGGCAAUCUGCCCUUCACUCUGGGACAAGCCCUGGAAACGGGGUCUAAUACCGGAUAACACUUCCACUCUCCUGAGUGGUGGUUAAAAGCUCCGGCGGUGAAGGAUGAGCCCGCGGCCUAUCAGCUUGUUGGUGAGGUAAUGGCUCACCAAGGCGACGACGGGUAGCCGGCCUGAGAGGGCGACCGGCCACACUGGGACUGAGACACGGCCCAGACUCCUACGGGAGGCAGCAGUGGGGAAUAUUGCACAAUGGGCGAAAGCCUGAUGCAGCGACGCCGCGUGAGGGAUGACGGCCUUCGGGUUGUAAACCUCUUUCAGCAGGGAAGAAGCGAAAGUGACGGUACCUGCAGAAGAAGCGCCGGCUAACUACGUGCCAGCAGCCGCGGUAAUACGUAGGGCGCAAGCGUUGUCCGGAAUUAUUGGGCGUAAAGAGCUCGUAGGCGGCUUGUCACGUCGGGUGUGAAAGCCCGGGGCUUAACCCCGGGUCUGCAUUCGAUACGGGCUAGCUAGAGUGUGGUAGGGGAGAUCGGAAUUCCUGGUGUAGCGGUGAAAUGCGCAGAUAUCAGGAGGAACACCGGUGGCGAAGGCGGAUCUCUGGGCCAUUACUGACGCUGAGGAGCGAAAGCGUGGGG